RNAcentral lists this transfer RNA (61 nucleotides) under Raillietina sp. HL-2022. Its description in RNAcentral is "tRNA-Asn". The record is from RNAcentral. Lineage: Eukaryota; Metazoa; Platyhelminthes; Cestoda; Cyclophyllidea; Davaineidae.
GAUUAUGUAGUUUAUAAAUCAUGAUGCUGUUAACUUCAAGAAGAUGAUAAUUCUGUGAUCG